GGGGGUGUAGCUCAUAUGGUAGAGCGCGCGCUUAUCAUGCGCGAGGUACCGGGAUCGAUACCCGGCACCUCCA
Non-coding RNA from Ciona savignyi (Pacific transparent sea squirt), 73 nucleotides. The record is from Rfam. Lineage: Eukaryota; Metazoa; Chordata; Ascidiacea; Phlebobranchia; Cionidae.